Molecule: ribosomal RNA, 472 nt
Filed under: uncultured bacterium
Lineage: Bacteria
Description: bacterial SSU rRNA
Rfam family: Bacterial small subunit ribosomal RNA
Source: RNAcentral
CUCUGUGACUCCUACGGGAGGCAGCAGUGGGGAAUAUUGCACAAUGGGCGCAAGCCUGAUGCAGCCAUGCCGCGUGUGUGAAGAAGGCCUUCGGGUUGUAAAGCACUUUCAGUUGUGAGGAAGGUGGUGUCGUUAAUAGCGGCAUCAUUUGACGUUAGCAACAGAAGAAGCACCGGCUAACUCCGUGCCAGCAGCCGCGGUAAUACGGAGGGUGCGAGCGUUAAUCGGAAUUACUGGGCGUAAAGCGCAUGCAGGCGGCCUGUUAAGUCAGAUGUGAAAGCCCGGGGCUUAACCUCGGAAUUGCAUUUGAAACUGGCAGGCUAGAGUCUUGUAGAGGGGGUAGAAUUUCAGGUGUAGCGGUGAAAUGCGUAGAGAUCUGAAGGAAUACCAGUGGCGAAGGCGGCCCCCUGGACAAAGACUGACGCUCAGAUGCGAAAGCGUGGGGAGCAAACAGGUUUAGAUACCCUGGUAG